UGUGGCACUGGUGGUGCCCCGUUUGCCGGAGGCAGCACCGAGUCGAGCGGCCGGUGCUGCAAGAGGCUUCACGGUGGGUGGCGGCCUCUUCGGCGGCGACAGUGUGGCGACCCGCCUCCAUCCCCCUCUCCCUUCCUUGCCCGUGGCGAUGGACGAGGACCAUGGCCCGACCUCCUUCUCCAUAACCCGCACCCGCGCUCCCCUAUUUUCGCCGCUGGACUCUCAUCGCCACGGCGACGGCGGCCCCUGCCUCCACUCCACGCUCCUCUUCUCUUCGUCGCGCACGGCGGCAGAAGGAGGGGUUCUGAUGGGAGCAAGGCUUGCGACCCCUCCGUCACAACUGCUCCGGGGCCCGGACAAAGCCGAGGCCGUCUCUGUGAACUCUCCAGCGAGCUGACCAUUGCCCUCCUCCAUCUAAGAUGCAAGGUAGCAGCAGCAACACAGGUUCCAUGGCCUCUGUCGCAUAGCUGCCACCCAAAGCCGUCCCCAGGGUAUGGUGGUGGCUGGCAUUCUGUUUGAUGCGGGCUGCAUCUACUCCCACAACAACGGUCAGCAACUAGGUGUUCACCAUCGGAAUUCUUCAGUAUCGCCCCCUCUCCGUCAUUAGCAAAAUUCAGGAUUGGCGAGAAGAAAAGUGAACAUAGAGGCUUCAGAUCUAUUAAUAGGAUACGAUGUUGCUUCCAACCCAUGGAUAUGAAUGUUCCAGUCGCUGGAGAGAUUGUUGGACAGAUGAAAUUGAUGAGAAAUCUUUGCCCCCCCUGCAAAUUAUGCAGCUUCAACACCAAGCUCAAACCUGUACAAUGGCACUGAAGUUGCGCCUCCAAAUUUCUUUGCAUCUUGAUGUAAUUAGCCCAGUAGUAUCCAGUUCUGUAGUAAUGAUUUGUGAUUUUUCCUGCUGCUGGUUACCGAGUGCCAAGUGGCAUUUAGUUUCUCCAAAGGAAUUUCAUUUGUACUCGUAUGGAUGAUUUUUAUUACGUGAAAUAUUUUGUGGAAUCA
Molecule: long non-coding RNA, 996 nt
Organism: Triticum dicoccoides
Lineage: Eukaryota; Viridiplantae; Streptophyta; Magnoliopsida; Poales; Poaceae
Exons: 3
Source: RefSeq, a predicted model, not a curated record